UUACGUGCUCGGUCCGUCCCCGACCGAGCGAACGCAUCGGAGAGUCGGGCCGCUUGAGAGUGCAGCCCGAAUGGGGUGGAUAGGUCUCAUCCAAGGCUAAGUACGUGGGAGACGCCGAUAGCGAACAAGUACGGCGACGGAAAGGUGAAAAGAACCUCGAAAGGGGGGUCAAAAGCGCUCGAAAUCGUAGAGGGGGAAGCGGACCUGACCGACGAGACCUCGUCGUCGCUCGCGCUCGACCCACGCUUCGUCGCGGAGUUCCGGAGGGCUCGCCCCCCGGAGCCGCGGCGCGGCGGGGGUCGGGGAGGCGCUCGGCGGCGGGGCCGCUUGCGCGGGACCGGCGUCGCGCCGAACGAGAGGUCGCCUCGGCUCGCCCGAAAGGACGCGCCGGGGGGCCGCCCCGGAGGCGCGGCGUCGGCCCGAGGGAGAAGGAGAUCGC
Molecule: ribosomal RNA, 439 nt
Filed under: uncultured bacterium
Lineage: Bacteria
Description: partial 23S ribosomal RNA
Rfam family: Archaeal large subunit ribosomal RNA (bases 1-187)
Source: RNAcentral